Molecule: ribosomal RNA, 463 nt
Filed under: Streptomyces sp. A00085
Lineage: Bacteria; Bacillati; Actinomycetota; Actinomycetes; Kitasatosporales; Streptomycetaceae
Description: bacterial SSU rRNA
Rfam family: Bacterial small subunit ribosomal RNA
Source: RNAcentral
GCGGCGCUGCUUACCGUGCGAGUCGAACGAUGAAACCGCUUCGGUGGUGGAUUAGUGGCGAACGGGUGAGUAACACGUGGGCAAUCUGCCCUUCACUCUGGGACAAGCCCUGGAAACGGGGUCUAAUACCGGAUAACACUCUGUCCCGCAUGGGACGGGGUUGAAAGCUCCGGCGGUGAAGGAUGAGCCCGCGGCCUAUCAGCUUGUUGGUGGGGUAAUGGCCUACCAAGGCGACGACGGGUAGCCGGCCUGAGAGGGCGACCGGCCACACUGGGACUGAGACACGGCCCAGACUCCUACGGGAGGCAGCAGUGGGGAAUAUUGCACAAUGGGCGAAAGCCUGAUGCAGCGACGCCGCGUGAGGGAUGACGGCCUUCGGGUUGUAAACCUCUUUCAGCAGGGAAGAAGCGAAAGUGACGGUACCUGCAGAAGAAGCGCCGGCUAACUACGUGCCAGCAGCCGC